This 497-nucleotide ribosomal RNA is filed under the name uncultured bacterium. RNAcentral describes it as "partial 16S ribosomal RNA". It matches the Rfam family "Bacterial small subunit ribosomal RNA", at positions 28 to 507 of the family's 1533-position model. The record is from RNAcentral.
GAUGAACGCUGGCGGCGUGCCUAAUACAUGCAAGUCGAGCGAACAGACGAGGAGCUUGCUACUCUGACGUUAGCGGCGGACGGGUGAGUAACAUGUGGAUAACCUACCUAUAAGACUGGGAUAACUUCGUGAAACCGGAGCUAAUACCGGAUAACAUAUUGAACCGCAUGGUUCAAUAGUGAAAGACGGUUUUGCUGUCACCUAUAGAUGGAUCCGCGCCGCAUUAGCUAGUUGGUAAGGUGACGGCUUACCAAGGCAACGAUGCGUAGCCGACCUGAGAGGGUGGUAGGCCACAUUGGAACUGAGACGCGGACCAGGCGCCUACGGGAGGCAGCAGUAGGGAAUCGUCGGCAAUGGGCGAAAGCCUGACGGAACAACGCCGCGUGAGUGAUGAAGGUCUUCGGAUCGUAAAACUCUGUUAUUAGGGAAAAACAAAUGUGUAAGGAAAUAUGCACGUCUUGACGGUUACUUAUCAGAGAGCCACGGAUAACUACGUG